Non-coding RNA from Gossypium raimondii (Peruvian cotton), 100 nucleotides. NCBI's taxonomy places the organism in Eukaryota, Viridiplantae, Streptophyta, Magnoliopsida, Malvales, Malvaceae. The record is from Rfam.
AUCCCAUGAUGAGGAAACUUACAAAAAAAUUCCUUGAAUCUUUCCAACGCCUCAUAUGAGGUCUCCAAUUGUUGAAAAGUAGUUAUCUCAUUUUGCAACU